RNAcentral lists this ribosomal RNA (641 nucleotides) under Russula viscida. Its description in RNAcentral is "eukaryotic LSU rRNA". It matches the Rfam family "Eukaryotic large subunit ribosomal RNA", at positions 1 to 611 of the family's 3401-position model. The record is from RNAcentral. Lineage: Eukaryota; Fungi; Basidiomycota; Agaricomycetes; Russulales; Russulaceae.
UUGACCUCAAAUCGGGUGAGACUACCCGCUGAACUUAAGCAUAUCAAUAAGCGGAGGAAAAGAAACUAACAAGGAUUCCCCUAGUAACUGCGAGUGAAGCGGGAAAAGCUCAAAUUUAAAAUCUGGUGGCCUUUGGCCAUCCGAGUUGUAAUUUAGAGAAGCGUCUUCCGCGCCGGACCGUGCACAAGUCUCCUGGAAUGGAGCGUCGUAGAGGGUGAGAAUCCCGUCUUUGGCACGGAUGACCGGGGCUUUUGUGAUGCGCUCUCGAAGAGUCGAGUUGUUUGGGAAUGCAGCUCAAAAUGGGUGGUGAACUCCAUCUAAAGCUAAAUAUUGGCGAGAGACCGAUAGCGAACAAGUACCGUGAGGGAAAGAUGAAAAGCACUUUGGAAAGAGAGUGAAACAGUACGUGAAAUUGUUGAAAGGGAAACGCUUGAAGUCAGUCGCGUCGGCCGAGACUCAGCCUUGCCUCGGCUUGGUGUACUUCUCGACCGACGGGUCAGCAUCAAUUUUGCCCCUUGGAUAAUGGCGAGGGAAAUGUGACACCUUUACGGGUGUGUUAUAGUCUCUCGUCGCAUGCGAGGGUCGGGAUUGAGGAACUCAGCACGCGCCUUUAGGUGUCGGGGCCUUGCCCACGAUACGUG